GAUGAACGCUAGCUACAGGCUUAACACAUGCAAGUCGAGGGGAAACGAUGAGAGAGCUUGCUCUCUUAGUCGUCGACCGGCGCACGGGUGAGUAACGCGUAUCCAACCUGCCUCUGACCAAGGGAUAACCCGUCGAAAGUCGGACUAAUACCUUAUGCAGUCGUCGGAAGUCAUCUGAUGACGACGAAAGAUUUCAUCGGUGAGAGAUGGGGAUGCGUCUGAUUAGCUUGUUGGCGGGGUAACGGCCCACCAAGGCGACGAUCAGUAGGGGUUCUGAGAGGAAGGUCCCCCACAUUGGAACUGAGACACGGUCCAAACUCCUACGGGAGGCAGCAGUGAGGAAUAUUGGUCAAUGGGCGUAAGCCUGAACCAGCCAAGUAGCGUGCAGGAUGACGGCCCUAUGGGUUGUAAACUGCCUUUAUGCGGGGAUAAAGUGAGGGACGUGUCCUUCAUUGCAGGUACCGCAUGAAUAAGGACCGGCUAAUUCCGUG
This 491-nucleotide ribosomal RNA is filed under the name uncultured bacterium. RNAcentral describes it as "partial 16S ribosomal RNA". It matches the Rfam family "Bacterial small subunit ribosomal RNA", at positions 28 to 507 of the family's 1533-position model. The record is from RNAcentral.